GACGAACGCUGGCGGCGUGCUUAACACAUGCAAGUCGAACGGAAAGGCCCUGCUUUUGUGGGGUGCUCGAGUGGCGAACGGGUGAGUAACACGUGAGUAACCUGCCCUUGACUUUGGGAUAACUUCAGGAAACUGGGGCUAAUACCGGAUAUGAGCUCCUGCUGCAUGGUGGGGGUUGGAAAGUUUCGGCGGUUGGGGAUGGACUCGCGGCUUAUCAGCUUGUUUGUGGGGUAGUGGCUUACCAAGGCUUUGACGGGUAGCCGGCCUGAGAGGGUGACCGGCCACAUUGGGACUGAGAUACGGCCCAGACUCCUACGGGAGGCAGCAGUGGGGAAUAUUGCACAAUGGGCGGAAGCCUGAUGCAGCAACGCCGCGUGCGGGAUGACGGCCUUCGGGUUGUAAACCGCUUUCGCCUGUGGCGAAGCGUGAGUGACGGUAAUGGGUAAAGAAGCACCGGCUAACUACGUG
This 468-nucleotide ribosomal RNA is filed under the name uncultured bacterium. Its description in RNAcentral is "partial 16S ribosomal RNA". It matches the Rfam family "Bacterial small subunit ribosomal RNA", at positions 28 to 507 of the family's 1533-position model. The record is from RNAcentral.